GUGCCAGCAGCCGCGGUAAUACGAAGGUGGCAAGCGUUGUUCGGAAUCACUGGGCUUAAAGGGCGCGUAGGCGGGCCAGUAAGUGUCUUGUGAAAUCCCCCAGCUUAACUGGGGAAUUGCUCGGCAAACUACUGGUCUUGAGGCAAGUAGGGGUGUGUGGAACUCUUGGUGGAGCGGUGGAAUGCGUAGAUAUCAAGAGGAACGCCGAAGGUGAAGACAGCACACUGGACUUGUACUGACGCUGAGGCGCGAAAGCGUGGGGAGCAAACAGGAUUAGAUACCCUAGUAGUCC
This 292-nucleotide ribosomal RNA is filed under the name uncultured bacterium. RNAcentral's name for it is "partial 16S ribosomal RNA". It matches the Rfam family "Bacterial small subunit ribosomal RNA", at positions 505 to 796 of the family's 1533-position model. The record is from RNAcentral.